UAUUUAUAAUUUUCUGUCACUGCUUCUAGAACAAACCUGGCUUUAAUAUACUGCAAGGUUUGUUCUAGCAGCAGUGACAGAAAAUUAUAAAUAAAUUAUUU
This 101-nucleotide microRNA precursor is filed under the name Marmota monax (woodchuck). The record is from RNAcentral. Lineage: Eukaryota; Metazoa; Chordata; Mammalia; Rodentia; Sciuridae.